UUUAUUCUUCGACUACAAUUGUACCACAUCGUACAAAAUGAGGAACCCUGUCGUAUUCCUAACGUUACUAGUAGCGGCCAGAGCAUUUCCAACAAAAGAUAUCCUAGAAUUAAACGCAUUAGAGAAACCUGACAUCGAACAUAUAGAUAAGGACAUACGCACGGUAUCAUACAUUCAAAACUUCAAAACGAUAAUGUCUGAUUAUGUUAAAAUGCAAUAUAAAAAUCUAACAGUAACAGAUAUGGAAGUUGUGAAAGAAACAUUGGACGGGUUCUUGCAAAAUUUUGCCGUAGAUCUGCACAAUGUUAUUGUCAAGGGGGAAAAAGAGGUUAUAGAAGAAAUAAACGAUGGUAUACCAAACUCAACGUUUGAUGAUGUAAAGAAAUGUAUUAAGAACGAACUGCCGGAUGUCAAUGAAGAGAUGGCUGAUCAGGUAGUAUAUAAAUUGAGGAAGAAUCUUUUGAAAACGAGAAAUAUUUUAGAUGGUGUUAUUAGAAAAUCACAAGUGGACGAUGAUUUUAAUGUAGGUUCUUAAACGUAUUUAUUUAAGGAUAAAUAUUUUAAAAUAAGAAUGUCCCACUAUUGUUUAUAUUUUCCGUAAGAUAAAUCCGUGAUGAUUAUAUGUAUUUGGAUAAAUACUCUAA
This is a long non-coding RNA of Pieris brassicae (large cabbage white), 644 nucleotides long. RefSeq lists it as uncharacterized. The transcript has 2 exons. The record is from RefSeq and is a predicted model, not a curated record. Lineage: Eukaryota; Metazoa; Arthropoda; Insecta; Lepidoptera; Pieridae.